RNAcentral lists this ribosomal RNA (2434 nucleotides) under Capsicum baccatum. RNAcentral describes it as "bacterial LSU rRNA". The stretch from base 1005 to 2434 matches the Rfam family "Eukaryotic large subunit ribosomal RNA", at positions 1891 to 3351 of the family's 3401-position model. The record is from RNAcentral. Lineage: Eukaryota; Viridiplantae; Streptophyta; Magnoliopsida; Solanales; Solanaceae.
GAGAACUUGUCCCGGGCAAAAUCAGUAUUUCUAAAUACUUAGGGAUGCAGCAGUAACUUAGUAGGACUAGGACAAGGGUGUUAUAAAAACCUUAUUUGCUGAAUUUUUCAGCAUUCAUUCAUUGAUGCAUUGUAUUCCUUUCAUUCGACACUUUAGUAUUAUUCAGUUUACAGAUUCUAUAAGUUACCAACAGAGAAACACGCUACACAAAAACCACACAGGUAGAGAGGGAAAACGUGAACCUUGUUUGAUGCCAAAACUCAUAUCCAUCGUGAGAGCAUUCUAACUUUUGUAUGAUGAUGACGAUGUCUUCUUUAGUUUACGCUGUAAUCAUGAGUAGCUAAACUUCUCUGUUAGGGUUAUGGAAGCCUUAUGAUAUACUAUCUAUUACUAUGAGUUUGUGAAUUCUUGAUAUGUAUGCUACUUAUAUCAUUACUCUAUUUGUUUUAAUUAAAUUCUUGUGGUUGUAAACAUAUAGAAUAUGCCAUUAUAGCAUUAACUUGUUCGAGAGAAAAGUUACAUGUGUUGAAAAGAGAGUGUGACAAGGAAAUAGGGCUACCAACCCUUCUUUACAUGUAAAUUCCUUAACCGGAUUAACCUCUUGGAGAGUUUGUACCAUUAGUUAUACACUUUAAGCUUGAGAGAGUUAAAGUGAAAUAAUCCUUGAUGAUUUCAGAAACGCUAGGAUUUACCAUUAGAAUACAAAUCUCUAUAAGUGCAUGCAUGUCUGAAUUCCACAUUACUCAUAGUUAAUAGAUACAUAGAACUCAAAAGGUGGACAUAACCCUAACUUAUUAUUCUUUGUGAUUAAAUUUUACUAAACAAAUCAUUCAUUCGUUACUUUGUUAACAUUAGUCACGCCUAAAUCAAAACCCCCCUUUUUCCAUGGAAUUUUUGACCAACAGUCUACUAAUAGUUGCAACACUUAGUGACCAAGUAUUCCCUGUGGGAUUCGACACCCAACCCAGUUGGGUUCUAUAUUUGAUAGUGACUGCUUACACUCUUACGAGAACUGUAGUUUGGGCGUUAUCAAUGGAUCCAUAAUUUUAGGAGAAAAAUUAGCUCUGAGGGCUGGGCAUGGGGGUCCCAGUCUCAACGUGUCGGCUAUUGAUGGACUAUUUGAGCUAUUCCUAUGGCGAGAGUGGUUUGUUGUGUGCCUGAUGGGGGACAAACUGGUAAAGGUUCCUUCGAAGGCCUUCCUCGUGCAUUGAACAACCAACUUAGAAUAGGUACGAACAAGGGAAAUUUGACUAUUUAUUUAAAAUAAAGCAUUGCGAUGGUCCCAAUGGAUGUUCACAUAAUGUGAUUUCUAUCCAGUGCUCUAAAUGUCAAAGGGAAGAAAUUCAACCAAGUAUGGGUAAGUGGUGGGAGUAACUAUGAUUCAGUUAAGGUAUACAAAUUACUAGACAUCUAAUUAGUGCUGAACAUAAAUGGAUUAAUGAGAUUCCCACUGUCCGUAUGUGCAAUCUAGCAAACCAGAGCCAAGGGAACGGGCUUGGCAGAAUCAGCAGGGAAAGAAAACCCUGUUGAGCUUGACUCUAGUACGACUUUAUUAAAUGACUUGAGAGGUGUAGUAUAAGUUUGAGCCGAAAGUAGAAAGUGAAAUACCACUACUUUUAACAUUAUUUUACUUAUUUCAUGAAUCUGAAGUGGUUUGAACCCAAGGAUUGCUCUGUGGGCAAAUCCGGGCAGAAGACAUUAUAAGGUGUUGAGUUUGGUUGGGGUGGCACAUCUAUUAAAAUAUAACACAGGUGUCAUAAAAUGAGCUCAAUGAGAAUAGAAAUCCCAUAUGAAAUAGAUGGGUAAAAUCUUAUUUGAUUCUGAUUUCCAGUACAAAUACGAACUGUGAAAGAAGGCCAUCGAUCCUUUAGACCUUUGAAAUUCAAAGCUAGAGGUGUCAAGAAUGUUACCACAGGGAUAACUGGUUUAUGGCAGCCAAGCUGUCAUAGCGAAAUUGUUUUUUAUCCUUUGAUGUCGGAUCUUCCUAUCAUUGUGAAGUAGAAUUCACCAAGUGUUGGAUUGUUCACCAACAAAUAGGGAACAUGAUCUGGGUUUAGAUUGUCGUGAGACAGGAUAGUUUACCAUAUUAAUGAUAGUGUCACAAUAGUAAUUCAGCCAUGUAUGAGAGAAACCAUUGAUUCACCCAAUUGGUCACCACGCUUGGUUGAAAAUCCAGUGGCGUAAAUCUACCAUGUGUUGGAUUAUGAAUAAAUGCCUCUAAGUCAGAAUCAGGGCUACAAGUGAUGUAUGUGCCCGCCGUCCUCUUUCCGACCCACAGUAGGGGCCACGACUCCUAAAGAAACAUGUCGUUGGCUAACCCAUCAUGGUGAAAGAGUCAUUAUAGCCCCCUUGAUGUAGAAUUUUCAUUGAGCGGCGGGUAGAAUACUUUCGAGAUGACUUAAAUAUGCGACCAAGCAUUGUAAGUGGUACACUA